AUUGCAUUCACCAACCAAGACAACCUACAAGUCAUAAUUUCCACAAAGAAGAAAAUCCUACUGCUACACCAUAGAUUCCAUAUAUUACUAACAUUUGAACUACAAAACAUCAUAAUGCCAAUACCAUAUAGCCAAAGUAUGAGUUAUCUCUACAAAACAUAUUUUCACCAUGUCAUUAAAGGAUCAUAUUCGACAACACUUAUCCAACAGGAAACAAACCAUUGUAUCAGAAAUUUCGAAAACCAACUAUAAACAUCAAUCGUGGGCUUCUCCUUUGCCACUCACGUUCUCGCUUCGCUUUCCCUUGCGAAAUGUCACGUUCAAUGAUAUCUCAAUGUCUCAUUUUUUAGCUAUUCAAGCCAGACUGUCGAACAUGCUUGGCAAGUCAUUGACUUCUUCGAUGGCCGCAGGAUAAAAUGCCUCAGUAAUAGUACUCGAUUCUCCGCUUGCUUCUUCGUUGACAACCCAAUCAAAAUAUCCACACUUACUACUACAGGUUCUGAAUAAUCACCCUUUAUUACUAGUCUCCCUUUCAACCUCAAAACACAUCUGCAAUCCCAGUGCGCACCGUGGACAUCGUUGUUUUACUGGGCAAUCAAUAAAGGAGUGCUUCAUGCUUCUACAACCGUGACAAACGCCAACAUUUCGUCCUCCCAUCCUGCUCGACAAAUCAAAAAUUCAACUUUAGUGUCAUUACUAUACAAACUAAUAUGCAGACGACUAUAUAAAUCGAUACACUGCAAGCUUAACAUACACUGCAGAACACAUAUUUCAGCAAAACCAGUGAUUUUCGAGCAACACAUUUCACAGUAUGAAAUGCAGUUCGUAAGAAGCAUUUUACUCUAUAUUACUAUAGAAACUUUCCCAAUUCAGAAAGAACAUUGAUAAUCAGUUCAAGAUGAAGAACAAUGUCAAUUGUUCUAAUUGUAUAAUUUCCAUGUAAUUAUAAGAUGAUUCCAUAUGUAGCCAGAAGAAAGGUGCAAGUGCAAUCACAAACACACCUUCUGCGUCUCGUUGCUCGGAGGUCGUUCUGAGGACGACGAUUUUGGACGACGGAGACGUACUAAGCUGGAGAUGAGUGUAGCGUCUGUGGGCGGAGAUGAUGGUCGGAUUUCGCCUGCGAUGGUUUUGACCUAAGCAACGGCUUCGACCGAUUCAGAUUUCGGGGAGUUACAAUCGGAGAGCAGGGUUGUGGAAUGAGGCAUUGUAGACGGAGAUGGGUAUGUAUAUCACAGCAGCGUUGUGGACGGAGGCGCCAGAAGGAGCACGGUCGACCUUUUCUUCGCGAGAUUUUUAGGGUUUCAACAAAAGGGAGAUUCGAAUUACGAAUGAAUGCGUCUAUUUUGGGCAAGAAUUGGUGUUUUAUUUAUUUGUUUCUUUUCUUCUUUAUUCUACACGAUAUGCCAAUGCCACAUCAUUCUGUUC
RNAcentral lists this long non-coding RNA (1425 nucleotides) under Olea europaea (common olive). Its description in RNAcentral is "long non-coding RNA (OEUR_LNC010764)". Lineage: Eukaryota; Viridiplantae; Streptophyta; Magnoliopsida; Lamiales; Oleaceae. The record is from RNAcentral.